UGUCCAGACUCCUACGGGAGGCAGCAGUGGGGGAUAUUGCACAAUGGGGGGAACCCUGAUGCAGCGACGCCGCGUGAGCGAUGAGGUAUCUCGGUAUGUAAAGCUCUAUCAGCAGGGAAGAAAGUGACAGUACCUGACUAAGAAGCCCCGGCUAACUACGUGCCAGCAGCCGCGGUAAUACGUAGGGGGCAAGCGUUAUCCGGAUUUACUGGGUGUAAAGGGAGCGUAGACGGCUGAGCAAGUCUGAAGUGAAAGGCGGGGGCCCAACCCCCGGACUGCUUUGGAAACUGUAUAGCUAGAGUGCAGGAGAGGUAAGUGGAAUUCCUAGUGUAGCGGUGAAAUGCGUAGAUAUUAGGAGGAACACCAGUGGCGAAGGCGGCUUACUGGACUGUAACUGACGUUGAGGCUCGAAAGCGUGGGGAGCAAACAGGAUUAGAUACCCUGGUAC
This 448-nucleotide ribosomal RNA is filed under the name uncultured bacterium. RNAcentral describes it as "bacterial SSU rRNA". It matches the Rfam family "Bacterial small subunit ribosomal RNA", at positions 328 to 793 of the family's 1533-position model. The record is from RNAcentral.